This 397-nucleotide ribosomal RNA is filed under the name uncultured bacterium. RNAcentral's name for it is "partial 16S ribosomal RNA". It matches the Rfam family "Bacterial small subunit ribosomal RNA", at positions 523 to 918 of the family's 1533-position model. The record is from RNAcentral.
AUACGUAGGUGGCGAGCGUUAUCCGGAAUUACUGGGUGUAAAGGGUGUGUAGGCGGGAAGGCAAGUCGGAUGUGAAAAUUAUGGGCUCAACCCAUAAAGUGCGACCGAAACUGUUUUUCUUGAGGAUCGGAGAGGUAAUGAGAAUUCCCGGUGUAGCGGUGAAAUGCGCAGAGAUCGGGAGGAAUACCGGUGGCGAAGGCGAAUUACUGGACGAUAACUGACGCUGAGACACGAAAGCGUGGGGAGCAAACAGGAUUAGAUACCCUGGUAGUCCACGCCCUAAACGAUGAAUACUAGGUGUUGGGAGACAAUAGUUUCUCGGUGCCGCAGCAAACGCAAUAAGUAUUCUACCUGGAGAGUACGUUCGCAAGAAUGAAACUCAAAUGAAUUGGCGGGG